AUGGGGUGCAGCAGGCGCGAAACCUUCACAAUGUGCGAAAGCACGAUGAGGGGAUCCCAAGUGCUUGCUCGUAAGAGUAAGCUGUUUUUAUGUCUAAAAAGCAUAGAGAGUAAGGGCUGGGUAAGACGGGUGCCAGCCGCCGCGGUAAUACCUGCAGCUCAAGUGGUGACCACUAUUAUUGGGCCUAAAACGUUCGUAGCCGGUUUGGUAAAUGCCUGGGUAAAUCGUGUAGCUUAACUAUACGAAUUCCGGGUAGACUGCCAAACUUGAGACCGGGAGAAGCUAGAGGUACUCCUGGGGUAGAGGUGAAAUUCUGUAAUCCUGGGGGGACCACCAGUGGCGAAGGCGUCUAGCUAGAACGGGUCUGACGGUGAGGAACGAAGCCCUGGGGCGCAAACCGGAUUAGAUACCCGGGUAGUCCAGGGUGUAAACGCUGCUUGCUUGAUGUUAGUUGGGCUCCGAGCCCAAUUAGUGUCGGAGAGAAGUUGUUAAGCAAGCUGCCUGGGAAGUACGAUCGCAAGAUUGAAACUUAAAGGAAUUGGCGGGGGAGCAC
RNAcentral lists this ribosomal RNA (553 nucleotides) under uncultured euryarchaeote. RNAcentral's name for it is "bacterial SSU rRNA". It matches the Rfam family "Archaeal small subunit ribosomal RNA", at positions 325 to 879 of the family's 1478-position model. Lineage: Archaea; Methanobacteriati; Methanobacteriota. The record is from RNAcentral.